AGCAGCCGCGGUAAUUCCAGCUCCAAUAGCGUAUAUUAAAGUUGUUGCAGUUAAAAAAGCUCGUAGUUGAAUUUCGGGAUCAAUUUGCUGGUCGUGCCUUUGGUACGCACUGGUAUUAUUGGUUUCUCCUUUCUGAUGAAUCGCGAUGUCAUUAAUUUGGUGUCGUGGGGAAUCAGGACCGUUACUUUGGAAAAAUUAGAGUGUUUAAAGCAGGCUCACGCUUGAAUACAUUAGCAUGGAAUAAUGAAAUAGGACGUUUGAUUCUAUUUUGUUGGUUUCUAGGAUCGACGUAAUGAUUAAUAGGGAUAGUUGGGGGCAUUAGUAUUCAAUUGUCAGAGGUGAAAUUCUUGGAUUUAUUGAAGACUAACUACUGCGAAAGCAUUUGCCAAGGAUGUUUUCAUUAAUCAAGAACGAAAGUUAGGGGAUCGAAGACGAUCAGAUACCGUCGUA
This 450-nucleotide ribosomal RNA is filed under the name uncultured Glomeromycotina. RNAcentral's name for it is "SSU rRNA". It matches the Rfam family "Eukaryotic small subunit ribosomal RNA", at positions 569 to 1022 of the family's 1831-position model. Lineage: Eukaryota; Fungi; Glomeromycota. The record is from RNAcentral.